CAGACCUCUUGACUCUUUUCUGUCUUCUUCAUUGUCUCUUCAACCUGCAUGCCUCUACCCAGCUACCCAGCUGACUGUCGGCAGGCCCAACAAAUAAGGAUGUUGGUCUGUAGUUUUUCUGCCUGUGUUUCUGAACUAUCAGUGUUCAGUUUGGACAUCUAGUCCUGGGAAACUCAAGAGCAACGGACAGGGUCAUUACCAGGAACCACGUGGACCGUGGUGUCGCCAAGAAAGGCAGCCUCUGCAGCUCGGUAGAGUCAUGAUUGAUGAUCACCUCUGAAAGCUUCCAGGCCAGGACUGGAGCAAACAGGAAUCGGAUGCUUAAUAUCAGAGAAGAGGAAUUACCUUCUCAACUAGACACUCCACCACUCCAAGGAGCUCUGGUAUUUUCUAAUUGUUGCUGUUUGGAGACUUGCACAGGCUAGCCUCUGCCUAACAGGAAUCCCGCUGCCUCAGCCUCUCAAGUGCUGCCAUUACAGGCACCAGCGUGGGAAUGGAAGGUGACUUUUCUGCCACCUGUUCUUCCCCUGGACGCCGUGAACCCCGACACCAUGUCCUGGUGACCACUCUUCCUGAAGACAUCAGCCCACCAGAGUGCCCAUCUUUGAGGACUGAGUUACGGCAGGUAGAGAUUCGACAGUCACAAGUUCUUCGAGGAAAGUGCCACAAGGCUUUGAUGAUGAAGCUCUGCUCGGCUUAGGAACCUCAGCUCAAGGGUGGCUUGGAAGACUGGUAAUCAACCCAGCUGGAAAAAGAUUCUGACUACAAUUUCAGGCUGUUAGAAUUUUCAGUAGAUCAAUUGUCAGAUUUGGUGCAAGAAAAUGUCGGGAGCAAGGGGCCAAGUGGGGGAAUUAGGGGUACCUAGCUGAUGUAUAGGACAUAAUGUUUGUGCAAAAGGUCAAAUGAUGUCCUCACCAAUAAAAGACAUCUCCAAUAGAAAGCAAGCACAUCUUUAUACUAGAAAACGAUGACACAGUAAUUAUGCUACUUUGGCCUUUUGUUUUUCUGCUAAUAUUACAUCACCGAACCACACAGGCAUGGUGAGGUGGGGACAAUAAAAAUAAGUUAUCAAUGCACUAUUAACUCAGCGUGCUCUUACCUAUUAAUAAGACAUUGAUGUCUCCUCUUAAGCGUGUCCCAUUGAGAAGCACUUUCUCGUUACCUCCAAGCGGCAUACACAAAAUGGCUUUUUUAAUAUACUCAUGUCUGUGGAUGCUUGGUGCUAAAGACUUGCUUAAAUGGUCAAAGAUAUCCUAUUUAAGAAACAGGAAACACUUACAUUGCACAUUAUCAACAUUAGAAUAGAAUCUCAUUAUCCAUUAGCUGGUAUUUGUGCGAUUUACAACUCUCUUUAGAUUGAGUUUUGCAGAAUUUCAUGAUCUUUGCCACAUCAUCAGCUGAACACGUAGGUAUGAUGUCUUUGCUCAUCGGUUUGAUAAUAUUAGCCAAGAUUAUGGCUGGAGAAAUCUUUUAAGAGAUGCUUCUAAUUAACUAUUAAAUAAAUGCAUGGAUGACGUUAUCUUCAUAACAGAUAAGCUACUUGGAAUUGCCUUCCAUAAAACAGAAUGAGUUAAUUUUUUUCCUUUGUGUUUUUGUUGACCUUUGCCUGUCUCCCCUCAAUCUUGAGCAGAACAUUCCACAGUGUAUUGUUUUUAGAUUUGGAUUCUCUUAAAAGUUUUCAAAGAAAAAAAGCUGGAAAGGGAAACUCUCUGAAAUGGCCUUUGGGAAUUACAGAUGCAUCAAAUGACUGCGAUGUUCCUUCUGCCUAGAGGCAGGUCCAGCAGAAUGCAUCUGCUUCUUCACACAGGGAAAGAAGAAAACCCAACAGAGGCGAACCUUUCAAGCUGCAAGAAGUAAAUCACCUUAUAAUUUAGAGAGAAUUAGAUAUUCAUGAAGCUGAAAACUUUUUUGUAUC
Peromyscus eremicus (cactus mouse) is the source of this 1915-nucleotide long non-coding RNA. RefSeq lists it as uncharacterized. Lineage: Eukaryota; Metazoa; Chordata; Mammalia; Rodentia; Cricetidae. The transcript is spliced from 4 exons. The record is from RefSeq and is a predicted model, not a curated record.